This 2651-nucleotide long non-coding RNA is filed under the name Olea europaea subsp. europaea. Lineage: Eukaryota; Viridiplantae; Streptophyta; Magnoliopsida; Lamiales; Oleaceae. The record is from RNAcentral.
CAUAAAUUGAAAAAAAUAUAAAAAUGACACUGAUUUGGUCACACAGAAAAACAGUAUAUAUUGCCUUAUAUUUUUAGCAUCAGUUAGUUACAAUUUCAUAAGAAGAUUUACACACACAUAAAGGGAUUUACACGUUGGUUACAGAGGAUAAAGCUAGCUAACAAGAUGAAGUCAUGUAGAGUUAGGACUUUGGAGAAAGAUGUUUAUCUUUAUCAUCAGUUGCUGCAAUGUUUAUCUCUUUAACAACCCAUUGCAAAUUGAUAGGCAAAUCACAGACGAAAAAUUUGUCACGAAGAUAGCAAAAUCUAUCUGUUGUAGGUCUCUUAGUGAAAAUAUCGGCAAGUUGCAUGUUAGUAGAUAAGUGCUCAAUAAUUAUUUCCUUCUUGGCCACCUUUUCAUGCACAAAGUGGUAAUCCACUUCAAUAUGCUUGGAUUGGGCAUGAAAAAUGGGAUUCGAUGCUAGAGCAAGAGCACACUCACAUUGUUACACCACGCUACACGGGGAGAAUCAAGAGAAAUCUUCAACUUAUACCACAGCAUGUGCAUCCAGUAAACUUCAGCUAUGAUCAAGGCUAGGUGGCAAUGCUCUGCCUCUAUAUUGGACUUAGAAACUGCAGGUUGUUUCUUUGCUGACAAAGAAAUCAAUUUGUGGCUGACAUACACUCCAUGUCCAUAUGUUGAACGACGAUCAUCCGGGUCCCUAGCCCAAUCAGAGUCACAAUAAGCAUUGAGAACAAUUGGUCCAGCUUUAUAGAGCAUUCCAAAAUCAAUAAAAAUAACACAAUAUCGACAGCCACUUAAAGAUUGAGUGGAUGUGGUCCAUACAUCAGAAUGAAUCAACUCUAUAGGAGCAAAACUUUCUCAUAAAUAAUUGGAGAAAGGCAACUGCUUAGACUUUCCUAACUGACAAGACACACAAAUUGACUCUUUACCAAGGGAGUCACUAACAGGAAGAGAAAAACUGGAAAUGACACGGCUAAGAGUUGUAAAGAAGGGAUGCCCAAGGCCACAAUGCCAAGUAGAGCUUGAAGCCUUAACAUUGACAGUCAUAGUGAGAGCAUGUAGCUUGGAAGAUGAGAGUUGGCGUAGGUUGAUCGAGUACAAUCCAUUUUCACUUGGCCUCGUCAAAAGCGUAACCUUUGUCGAGAUGUCCUUCACAAUAAAAUUUGAACCAAUAAGUUCAAACAUAACAUUAUUGUCACGACAAAAUUUAUUUAUGGACAAAAGAUGAGCAGAAGAUUGAGGACAAUAGGCAACAUCUUUUAAAGCAAGAGUAGAAAGAGAUGUUUGUAUGGAAGCAUUGUCAGUGUGUGAGAUGAUCAAACCUAUCCCAUUAAGUCAUGGCCUUCAUAGGGCUGCGAGGUAGCAAGAUUAGCAAUGUCAGAGGUGACAUAUAUGUUGGCACCACUAUCAGCAUACCUUAAUGUUGAGAUAAAUAAGUGGUAUUAGCCUCAGCAACCAUGGCAGCCAAUUCAGUAGAAGGAUGACGUCCUUGAAAGGCAUAGUUUAUGAGGUUGAAGUAGUCAAGUGCUUGAUGAUCCCCCUUUUUACAUAUUUGACAUGGAGAUUUUAGGCGAUUGUGCAUAGAUUGCUUUGGGGACUAUACUGAGGAAGAGGGCAAGUGAGGCAGUGGGUGUCGAAAUUUAGAUAAGGAUCAUUGCACUUGGCUUUUCGAAGGAGCUGAGGUUCGAGUCUUAUUAGGGUGAGGCUUAGACUGAGACUUGUGAGAGUACAACGCAUAGGAACCAGUCUCAGGUUGAAUGGAUUGAUUGUGAAAUUUUUGCAUGAGAUCAAAAUUGAGCAACUCAGCUUGAAAAUCUGAGAAAGACAUCAACUUCUUUCUGGAGAUAAGCAUAUAGGUGGUCAUAAAGGAAUGAAAGGAGGAGUUGAGCAUGUUGAGGACAGAAAGAACCAAGUCUGAAUCUGCCACAGGUUUGCCAACUGCAAACAAUUCAUCGGAAAGGUUCUUCACUUCAGUAAAAAACUCUUGACAUGAAAAGAAUCCAUGCUGGAUGGACUGAAGCUUUGUUUUGAUGAGAGAAAUUCGAGAUGUGGAUGGAGUAGCAAAACGUGAGCUAAGGGCUUGCUAAGCAAGCUGAGAGGUCUUAAGACCAUAAAUAGUGGAGACCACCGAAGGAGAUAAAGAUGAAAUUAUCCAGCCAAGCACUGUUUGGUCCUUAUAUUGCCAAACCACAUAGGCAGGAUUAAGAACACCCAAAGCUUUUUGAUCAUCACUGGUAAAUUGAGGAGGACAGGAAUUAGAACCAUCAACAAUUCCCAUCAGGCCAUAGCUUCGAAAAAUUGGCAGAAGUUGGGCACUCUAGGCAAGGUAAUUUGUCCCAUCAAGCUUGAUGGAAAUAACCUACUCAGGUAGAUGAAAAGCAGUGAAAGAAGAUGUAGAACCAGUAGUAGCCAUAGAAGCACAAUAAGCGUGAGCUUGGGAAGGGUUUGAUACCAUGAAAAAAAUAUAAAAAUAACACUGAUUUGGUCACACAGAAAAACAACAUAUAUUACCUUGUAUUUAUAGCAUCAGUUAGUUACAAUUACAUGAGAAGAUUUACAUACACAUAAAGGGAUUUACACGUUGGUUACAAAGGAUAAACUAGCUAACAAGAUGAAGUCAUGUAGAGUUAGGACUUUGGAGAAAGAAG